AUGAUUCGUGGGACGUCCUGCCGGUGGUGGCGAGUCGAAGGCGUGCUCCCGUCGUGGUUUCCACUUCGGUUCUUGUGCGCCCGAGGCGGACCCCGAUGAAAUCCUACCGCGGUGCUCUUCGCCGAGUGUCGAGGUGGGCCGGCACGUUUACUUUGAACAAAUUAGAGUGUUUAAAGCAGGCCUGUUGCGCCUGAAUACUGUGUGCAUGGAAUAAUGGAAUAGGACCUCGGUUCUAUUUUGUUGGUUUUCGGAACCCGAGGUAAUGAUUAAUAGGGACAGGCGGGGGCAUUCGUAUUGCGACGUUAGAGGUGAAAUUCUUGGAUCGUCGCAAGACGGACCGAAGCGAAAGCAUUUGCCAAGUAUGUUUUCAUUAAUCAAGAACGAAAGUUAGAGGUUCGAAGGCGAUCAGAUACCGCCCUAGUUCUAACCAUAAACGAUGCCAGCUAGCGAUCCGCCGAAGUUCCUCCGAUGACUCGGCGGGCAGCUCCCGGGAAACCAAAGCUUUUGGGUUCCGGGGGAAGUAUGGUUGCAAAGCUGAACUUAAAGGAAUUGACGGAAGG
RNAcentral lists this ribosomal RNA (560 nucleotides) under Poecilimon ornatus. RNAcentral's name for it is "SSU rRNA". It matches the Rfam family "Eukaryotic small subunit ribosomal RNA", at positions 720 to 1163 of the family's 1831-position model. The record is from RNAcentral. Lineage: Eukaryota; Metazoa; Arthropoda; Insecta; Orthoptera; Tettigoniidae.